RNAcentral lists this ribosomal RNA (890 nucleotides) under Pantoea vagans. RNAcentral's name for it is "bacterial SSU rRNA". Lineage: Bacteria; Pseudomonadati; Pseudomonadota; Gammaproteobacteria; Enterobacterales; Erwiniaceae. The record is from RNAcentral.
GAGUGGCGGASGGGUGAGUAAUGUCUGGGGAUCUGCCCGAUAGAGGGGGAUAACCACUGGAAACGGUGGCUAAUACCGCAUAACGUCGCAAGACCAAAGAGGGGGACCUUCGGGCCUCUCACUAUCGGAUGAACCCAGAUGGGAUUAGCUAGUAGGCGGGGUAAUGGCCCACCUAGGCGACGAUCCCUAGCUGGUCUGAGAGGAUGACCAGCCACACUGGAACUGAGACACGGUCCAGACUCCUACGGGAGGCAGCAGUGGGGAAUAUUGCACAAUGGGCGCAAGCCUGAUGCACCCAUGCCGCGUGUAUGAAGAAGGCCUUCGGGUUGUAAAGUACUUUCAGCGGGGAGGAAGGCGGUGCGGUUAAUAACCGCGCCGAUUGACCUUACCCGCAAAAAAAGCACCGGCUAACUCCGUGCCAGCAGCCGCGGUAAUACGGAGGGUGCAAGCGUUAAUCGGAAUUACUGGGCGUAAAGCGCACGCAGGCGGUCUGUUAAGUCAGAUGUGAAAUCCCCGGGCUUAACCUGGGAACUGCAUUUGAAACUGGCAGGCUUGAGUCUUGUAGAGGGGGGUAGAAUUCCGGGUGUAGCGGUGAAAUGCGUAGAGAUCUGGAAGAAUACCGGUGGCGAAGGCGGCCCCCUGGACAAAGACUGACGCUCAGGUGCAAAAGCGUGGGGAGCAAACAGGAUUAUAUACCCUGGUAGUCCACGCCGUAAACGAUGUCCACUUGGAGGUUGUUCCCUUGAAGAGUGGCUUCCGGAGCUAACGCGUUAAGUCCACCGCCUGGGGAGUACGGCCGCAGGGUUAAAACUCAAAUGAAUUGACGGGGGCCCGCACAAGCGGUGGAGCAUGUGGUUUUAUUCUAUGCCACGCAAAAAACCUUACCUACU